This is a long non-coding RNA of Osmerus eperlanus (European smelt), 903 nucleotides long. RefSeq lists it as uncharacterized. The record is from RefSeq and is a predicted model, not a curated record. Lineage: Eukaryota; Metazoa; Chordata; Actinopteri; Osmeriformes; Osmeridae. The transcript is spliced from 4 exons.
CAACAUUGAAUGUUGAUUUUUGAAUGAGGAAGGUUCACACAUGCGCAGUGGUUGUAGCAGUAGCACUUUGCUUCUCCCAACUGUCACUGCCGCACAUGGCGCGAAAACCGGAGAAGAAUGGAGGUUUCAGCUGCUCCAGAAGUUAUAGGAUUCAGGAAUUAUACUGACUGAAGAAGAGACAAAGAGAUUCAGAGAUUUACAUUUUCUCACACUCUACAUUGUCACCUGGAGUCAGCUCUGUAACCGUGGCCCCAAGUUUUUGUGAUUUACAUUUUCUCACACUACAUUGUCACCUGGAGUCAGCUCUGUAACCGUGGGCCCAAGUUUUUGUGGAAAUGGCUGAGACCGAUUUCCUCAGUGCCAUGGAGAGAACGACAGUGGGGAUCUAUGUUGUGAAAGACACUGCCAGCAGUGAACCCUCUGAUGUCAGGAUAGUCCUCGAAGGUGUGAUGGUGCUUCAAGAUCUUGAGAAUGUAGCACUUGCUUCUGCAAUGUUGUUUGGGCUCUUAUGCCUUGAACAUGCAGCACCCUACAAAGCUCCGCUACACCUUUGAGGCAUUUCAAAAGAUCAUCAUGGAGCCUCAGCAUCAGACACUUAAUAAUAUGAGCCUGUCAGCUGCAAAAACAGAACUUUUAGUGACACUAACUGACCAUGCACAGUUGCCCUAUAUAACGUUGCAGCCCGGUUCACAGCAAUCUUGCUCAAUGCUGGACCAAUUUUCAUGAAUUAACCACUAGAUAGCCUAAAUUUAUAUUGAUUGGCUGUAAAUGUAGCUGUUUUUUAAGUAUGCUUGUUUUUCCACUGUCCAAUUAACAUUUUUAUAUCUAUAAUUUCUUUAAAUUGACUGAUUAAUACUGUAAAUGUGCUGACAUUCCUUUUUGAUUAAAAGUACAUAUUCAGUA